AGUUCGAACGAUAAGUCCACCUUCGGGUGGUGGACAGUGGCAGACGGGUGAGUAACGCGUGGGAACGUGCCUUUCGGUUCGGAAUAACCCAGGGAAACUUGGGCUAAUACCGGAUACGCCCUUCGGGGGAAAGAUUCAUUGCCGAAAGAUCGGCCCGCGUCGGAUUAGCUAGUUGGUGGGGUAAUGGCUCACCAAGGCGACGAUCCGUAGCUGGUCUGAGAGGAUGACCAGCCACACUGGGACUGAGACACGGCCCAGACUCCUACGGGAGGCAGCAGUGGGGAAUAUUGGACAAUGGGCGCAAGCCUGAUCCAGCCAUGCCGCGUGGGUGAAGAAGGCCUUAGGGUUGUAAACCCCUUUCAGCGGGGAAGAUAAUGACGGUACCCGCAGAAGAAGUCCCGGCUAACUCCGUGCCAGC
Molecule: ribosomal RNA, 418 nt
Filed under: uncultured bacterium
Lineage: Bacteria
Description: bacterial SSU rRNA
Rfam family: Bacterial small subunit ribosomal RNA
Source: RNAcentral